GACGAACGCUGGCGGCGUGCUUAACACAUGCAAGUCGAACGGAAAGGCCCUGCUUUUGUGGGGUGCUCGAGUGGCGAACGGGUGAGUAACACGUGAGUAACCUGCCCUUGACUUUGGGAUAACUUCAGGAAACUGGGGCUAAUACCGGAUAGGAGCUCCUGCUGCAUGGUGGGGGUUGGAAAGUUUCGGCGGUUGGGGAAGGACUCGCGGCUUAUCAGCUUGUUGGUGGGGUAGUGGCUUACCAAGGCUUUGACGGGUAGCCGGCCUGAGAGGGUGACCGGCCACAUUGGGACUGAGAUACGGCCCAGACUCCUACGGGAGGCAGCAGUGGGGAAUAUUGCACAAUGGGCGGAAGCCUGAUGCAGCAACGCCGCGUGCGGGAUGACGGCCUUCGGGUUGUAAACCGCUUUCGCCUGUGACGAAGCGUGAGUGACGGUAAUGGGUAAAGAAGCACCGGCUAACUACGU
This 467-nucleotide ribosomal RNA is filed under the name uncultured bacterium. RNAcentral's name for it is "partial 16S ribosomal RNA". It matches the Rfam family "Bacterial small subunit ribosomal RNA", at positions 28 to 506 of the family's 1533-position model. The record is from RNAcentral.